UACGUAGGGUGCAAGCGUUGUCCGGAAUUAUUGGGCGUAAAGAGCUUGUAGGCGGUUUGUCGCGUCUGCUGUGAAAUUUCGGGGCUCAACCCCGAACUUGCAGUGGGUACGGGCAGACUAGAGUGUGGUAGGGGAGACUGGAAUUCCUGGUGUAGCGGUGAAAUGCGCAGAUAUCAGGAGGAACACCGAUGGCGAAGGCAGGUCUCUGGGCCAUAACUGACGCUGAGGCGCGAAAGCUAGGGGAGCAAACAGG
This 253-nucleotide ribosomal RNA is filed under the name uncultured bacterium. RNAcentral's name for it is "partial 16S ribosomal RNA". It matches the Rfam family "Bacterial small subunit ribosomal RNA", at positions 524 to 776 of the family's 1533-position model. The record is from RNAcentral.